RNAcentral lists this long non-coding RNA (1135 nucleotides) under Equus caballus (horse). RNAcentral's name for it is "lncRNA (ENSECAG00000046515.1)". The record is from RNAcentral. Lineage: Eukaryota; Metazoa; Chordata; Mammalia; Perissodactyla; Equidae.
AGAAGCUGAGUUUUGAUAGGGGAAGUCAAAACCUUCCACAAUACCUGGCCAGAUUCCUUAAUGUGAGACUGUCUUAAAGUAACAAAAGUAUUUGCUGCGAGUGACUUACACUCUGAGAUCUAAUGACCCGCGUGGAUUUUCCAGCACACAACUCAGGUAUUCUUACAUACAAGAUAAAAAGACUAUACCAGGAAGCGAGGACCCUCCAGGCUCCCCACUGAGCGAAUGACAGACUUAGCCAGUGAGCAAAGAGCUCUGGCUCCGGUUUGAUCUGAUUCUCAGCCUCUUGCAUUGCCAUCCGCCGCUGACGCAUCCCGAGUGCCUCCUUUAUGGCCCGUUCUGGGAAGGCCUUCUCCGUGCAGCCCAUUUCUCUGCAGCCUCCCUUGCAGCUCUGCAGCACAAUAGGGCCUGUGCAACCUCCAGGACGAUGGCCUGACGUGCUGACUGAAGUGCAAGCUGAAGACGGUGCCCUCCCCACACGCCGCUUAUGUGCUUACCUUUGACCUAGCUGGAAUUCAAGACAAUAUAGUUUCAUUCUAUGCCACGGCGUUAAACGUUUUUAUUCUGCUCCUCAAAUGACUCUGUUCACAGAGUUUGCGCCUUCCAGUGUCAUCUCUUUAUAAAGCGUAGGGCCCAGGUCCAAACAGCUCUCCACGUAGCACCUCUCUCACGGCGCCUAUAAAGUUGAGGCUGUCUUUGUUCCUUCCGCGGUCUUGCUCCCUCCUCUCGCCAGAGGUAACUGCUGUCACGCUGGGGAGGGGACGUAGGAGGACAGGAGAAAGGUAAGCACACAGGUUCUAGACAGACACAGCCAACAAGAAAGCUGAGCUUGGGCGGUCCCAUCGCAGGCUGCUCAGUCCAACACUGCUCCAAAAGGAGCCGAGGGACACUGGCACUGAGCGUAGGGGGCCAGUCCAGAAGGCCAGGCUUUGAGUCAAAGUGUGGGGUCCGUACAGACCGCGUGAUCAUUUCUCAUUUAACAUUACUUUGAUUAGUUUCCAAGAGCUUGGGAAAAAGCCAUCUGGGAAACAAAAGGGAGAUUUGGGUUGGGACUCAGACCACCAGGGAGCUCCUGAGCUGGCCCGCCUCCUAGGACAAGUGGAGCUCGCACCAUGGCCCCACGCCAGGACUCCAC